CCCUUAGAGUUUGAUCCUGGCUCAGAUUGAACGCUGGCGGCAGGCUUAACACAUGCAAGUCGAACGGUAACAUAAAGAAGCUUGCUUCUUUGAUGACGAGUGGCGGACGGGUGAGUAAUGCUUGGGAAUCUAGCUUAUGGAGGGGGAUAACUACGGGAAACUGUAGCUAAUACCGCGUAGUAUCGAAAGAUGAAAGUGUGGGACCUUCGGGCCACAUGCCAUAGGAUGAGCCCAAGUGGGAUUAGGUAGUUGGUGAGGUAAAGGCUCACCAAGCCGACGAUCUCUAGCUGGUCUGAGAGGAUGACCAGCCACACUGGGACUGAGACACGGCCCAGACUCCUACGGGAGGCAGCAGUGGGGAAUAUUGCGCAAUGGGGGCAACCCUGACGCAGCCAUGCCGCGUGAAUGAAGAAGGCCUUCGGGUUGUAAAGUUCUUUCGGUAGCGAGGAAGGCAUUUAGUUUAAUAAACUAGGUGA
This 476-nucleotide ribosomal RNA is filed under the name uncultured bacterium. Its description in RNAcentral is "bacterial SSU rRNA". It matches the Rfam family "Bacterial small subunit ribosomal RNA", at positions 1 to 472 of the family's 1533-position model. The record is from RNAcentral.